AGUGAACGCUGGCGGUAGGCCUAACACAUGCAAGUCGAACGGCAGCACAGUAAGAGCUUGCUCUUACGGGUGGCGAGUGGCGGACGGGUGAGGAAUACAUCGGAAUCUACUUUUUCGUGGGGGAUAACGUAGGGAAACUUACGCUAAUACCGCAUACGACCUACGGGUGAAAGCAGGGGAUCUUCGGACCUUGCUCGAUUGAAUGAGCCGAUGUCGGAUUAGCUAGUUGGCGGGGUAAAGGCCCACCAAGGCGACGAUCCGUAGCUGGUCUGAGAGGAUGAUCAGCCACACUGGAACUGAGACACGGUCCAGACUCCUACGGGAGGCAGCAGUGGGGAAUAGUGGACAAUGGGCGCAAGCCUGAUCCAGCCAUACCGCGUGGGUGAAGAAGGCCUUCGGGUUGUAAAGCCCUUUUGGUGGGAAAGAAAAGCAGCAGGUUAAUACCCCGCUGUGCUGACGGUACCCAAAGAAUAAACACCGGCUAACUUCGU
Molecule: ribosomal RNA, 491 nt
Filed under: uncultured bacterium
Lineage: Bacteria
Description: partial 16S ribosomal RNA
Rfam family: Bacterial small subunit ribosomal RNA
Source: RNAcentral